This 241-nucleotide unclassified non-coding RNA is filed under the name Hevea brasiliensis (rubber tree). Lineage: Eukaryota; Viridiplantae; Streptophyta; Magnoliopsida; Malpighiales; Euphorbiaceae. The record is from RNAcentral.
UAGCUGGAACCUCACGGGCUUUAUAUCCCAUCCAUGGAUGUGCUCGGGGCUACAAACUCGACGCCCAAGCCGCCGCAAGGCACGACCCAAGUGAAGUCGGUAGUAGAGGCAGUAUUCACCUGGCGGGAAGCGAAACUCUAUCUCGCCAGCUAUCUCCAACCACCAAAUUUGCUGAAGGUAAGCAACCGAGCGGAAUCUAGAUUCUUCUGUAGGAAUAUAAUUCCAGUAUCUUCUGUCAUCG